UUUUAAAGAAACAAAUUUAAUCGAUUUCCAAGGCUUGAGUGUGAUAAAAAAAAAAAAAAUUAAAAGGUAAACUUCACCAUGCAGGAAGAAGCAUAGGAAAAGAGAGAGAGAAAAGAACAAAGAAAAAAAAAAGAAUAGCAAGUCUCUCCAAGUACUAUGGGAACAAACAGAAAGUGGAAUUAGGAAAAAAGAGAGGAAGAAGGUCUGAGUAGUCCAAGGGACACGGGAGGCCAGUUGGGAAGACUGCCCGGGCGAGACCAGGAAGAUCAAGGCCACAGUGAAUCAUGAUCCCAUCCCUCUGCUCAACCUGAAUUGUACUGCUGCUGGCGAGAGAGAUCUGGUUGACCCUUAGACAUGGCAAGGCGAGAGGUGAGGUCCAUCAGGUUGACCUUGGUCCAUCGCUCACAGCCGACAUCUCUCUCAAAAUAAAUAAACAAAUC
This 440-nucleotide long non-coding RNA is filed under the name Pongo abelii (Sumatran orangutan). Its description in RNAcentral is "lincRNA". Lineage: Eukaryota; Metazoa; Chordata; Mammalia; Primates; Hominidae. The record is from RNAcentral.